RNAcentral lists this transfer RNA (72 nucleotides) under Sphaerodactylus townsendi. RNAcentral's name for it is "tRNA-Ala". It matches the Rfam family "tRNA". From Rfam's summary of the family: Transfer RNA (tRNA) molecules are approximately 80 nucleotides in length. Their secondary structure includes four short double-helical elements and three loops (D, anti-codon, and T loops). The record is from RNAcentral. Lineage: Eukaryota; Metazoa; Chordata; Lepidosauria; Squamata; Sphaerodactylidae.
AGGGCUGCAGCUCAGUGGAACAGCCUCCACUUUGCGUGUAGAAGGUCCCAAGUUCAAUUCCUGGCACCUCUA